GACGAACGCUGGCGGCGUGCCUAAUACAUGCAAGUCGAGCGGACGGAUGGGAGCUUGCUCCCAGACCGUCAGCGGCGGACGGGUGAGUAACACGUGGGCAACCUGCCUGUAAGACUGGGAUAACUCCGGGAAACCGGGGCUAAUACCGGAUAACUCUUUCCCUCACAUGAGGGAAAGCUGAAAGAUGGCAUCUCGCUAUCACUUACAGAUGGGCCCGCGGCGCAUUAGCUAGUCGGUGAGGUAACGGCUCACCAAGGCGACGAUGCGUAGCCGACCUGAGAGGGUGAUCGGCCACACUGGGACUGAGACACGGCCCAGACUCCUACGGGAGGCAGCAGUAGGGAAUCUUCCGCAAUGGACGAAAGUCUGACGGAGCAACGCCGCGUGAGUGAUGAAGGUUUUCGGAUCGUAAAACUCUGUUGUCAGGGAAGAACAAGUACCGGAGUAACUGCCGGUACCUUGACGGUACCUGACCAGAAAGCCACGGCUAACUACGUG
This 498-nucleotide ribosomal RNA is filed under the name uncultured bacterium. Its description in RNAcentral is "partial 16S ribosomal RNA". It matches the Rfam family "Bacterial small subunit ribosomal RNA", at positions 28 to 507 of the family's 1533-position model. The record is from RNAcentral.